GAAUACAAUAAUCAUUCAUUGUGUUGCUUUUAUUAAAUGAACGCUUCAAAGUUAAAAAAUAAUUUUAUUUGACACUUAUUAUAUAACUGUGUUGUUAACCACAUCAUGGUAACAAAAACAUGAUUAUACUAUUUUUAUUCUCAACAACAUGAGACGCAUAGAUACGGAAACUCUGCCUGACAAUUGCAACAUUUGAAUUUCUUACAUAAUCCAAAGCAACCUGAAAUUGCCAAAACAAAUAUUCUUCAUUUAUCAAAUUAUUCAAAAUUAUAUCAUAAAGACUCCUCAUAUAAUAGAAGAAAGCAUGAUGAGCCAAUUCGAAUCAAUGAGAGAGUAUAUAUUUGAAAACCAAAAUUUUGUUUUAGAAAUAAUUAUACUUAGAAGCUUUCAAUCAUUUAACGUAAAAAUAUCUUUUAAAAACAAUCAGGAAAUUCAGACAUCCAAAUAUUGAAUUUAAACAUCCCAAAUGUGAUUUUGAAUAGUUAGAUAUAUUUAAAAGUAUAAGUUUAGUUAUACAUAGCCACUUCGAGUUGAAAAUAUAUUUUCUAUUAAUAUGAGGAUAAAAAUAAUCAAAAAAAUCCUUAAGACUAAGUUACCUGAAACAGACACACGAGUGCUACGACUUGCAACAGACAAUUUUAAUGACAUUAUCGGUGAUGUUGCUUCCGGUGCAGAUGAUGGCUCUGGUGCAGGUAAUGGUUCUAGUGUUGCUAGAGUUAAUGGAGAAAAAAGAACAAAGAUGACAAUAAUAUUGUAUCCCAUAGAAUUAGUUGAUUUUGCCAUCUUAAACAACUAUUUUUUAUCUUGCUUGUAUGUACUUUUUUC
Molecule: long non-coding RNA, 825 nt
Filed under: Nicotiana tabacum (common tobacco)
Lineage: Eukaryota; Viridiplantae; Streptophyta; Magnoliopsida; Solanales; Solanaceae
Description: long non-coding RNA (NTAB_LNC017886)
Source: RNAcentral